Non-coding RNA from Camellia sinensis, 640 nucleotides. NCBI's taxonomy places the organism in Eukaryota, Viridiplantae, Streptophyta, Magnoliopsida, Ericales, Theaceae. The record is from RefSeq and is a predicted model, not a curated record.
CUCUCCCUCAAAUUUUCCAUAGUCCUUGCUUCUUUUUUGGUUCAACACUUUCUCCAUUAGAUAUUUCCAACCCCUCAGAAGAAGCUACUGGCUUUUUUUUUUGCUUUUAUGUUUUGCAACAAACAUGAUUCUUCUCGGAAAGCAUCCUGGUUUCUCUCUGGCUUGAAAGGAACUUAAGUGACCACACCAUGGAAUUCUUACUUUCUAUUUUUGGACCUGUGAAGAGUUUUGGGGAAGCAACUGGAAAAUGGAUUGGAUAUAUCAAUAGUCUUGAUGCUAACAUGACAAAUCUCAAAAGAAAGCUGGAUGACUUGAGCAGCCAAGAGGAUGAUAUAAAUAAUGAAUUGAACUGUGCAGAGCAGCAGUCAAGGAAGAGACGAAAGAAAGUAGUUGAUGUUUGGCUCAGAGAUGUGCAAAUGUUAAAAGUUGAUGUGCAAACUUUGCAUACACAAGAGAAAAUAGUAAGAUAGAUGGAUGUCUUCUCACGCGCACGGUUGGGAAAGGUUGUCAUGGAGAAGAUUCAAGAGGUGGAAAAACUGCAAGAAAAUGGUAGUUUUUAUAGCGAUCCCGGGUUUACCCUUGUUGUACAGUGAUCCGGACAUGUGUCCGUGGAUGUUGGUAGUUGUUUAUUAUCUUGUUU